CAAAAAUGAUGAAAUGGAGGCUGUCCUACUUUGGGCACAUCCGGAGAAGGCAGGAGUCUGGGGAAAAGACAAUCAUGCUGGCAGAAGUUGAAAGCAGCAGGAAAUGAGGAAGAGGGAACAGGAGAUGGAUCGACUCCCUCAAAGAAACCACAGGAUUUAUACAAGAGCUGAGCAGGGCAGGGGAAGGCAGGACCUUUCAGAGAGCGGUCAUUCCUAGGGGUCUCUGCGAGUUGACGACACGUCUGAACGACAAGAUACCGACGCCGUUGACCCACUUGUCGUGGGAAGACGGUGAAAUGGCAACAGCCCUCGCCUCUCAGUCCUCCUAGGGUUGAGCCAAAAGGCGCUCUCCGCGACGCCAGACCCCCUUGCAAGAGGGAAAGGCGGCCACCCUCGGACCCCCCCUCCCCUUCCAGGAAGGGGAAGGGGCUGCUUCUGCAGGAGGGGAGGGGGCUACCUACAGAUGCGAGAAAGGGGGGGCGAGGGAAAAGGAGACCAGCCGAGCUGCUUUUGCCUGAGAAGAACCCCCCCAUCCUCAGUUUGUCGCCUGGAAAUGGGGGUGGGGUGUCCACGCGUGUGAUCGUGUCCCAGCAAUGGACGGGCGGCAUAUUGGUGGGAGGGGGGCAUAGUCCCUUCUCACCCCCAGCCCUCCCCCUAGAUAUUGCUGGGGAGGGGAAGGAAAACAUCCCUGGAAAGGGGUCGAUGGCUCCGCACCGGUUGCGGGCGGAAGGAGGUGUGAUGGCAACACAGGCAGGCUGUGAAUCAUCUCCUCCUAGAAGAGGAGAAAGAGCAGUUAUGAAACUAUCUCAGGUAAGGUAGGGGUCAUCAGGGAGAAACAGGAGGGGACCUCAUGCUUUUCUCUUUCCACAGGUAUGGGGGAGGGAGAGAAAAUCCUGUCUCUUUAUUUUAAUGCUUGACCUGAUGAAAUGAGAAAAUUGUUGUUUAUUCGUUUAGUCAUGUCUGACUCUUCGUGACCCCAUGGACCAGAGCACGCCAGGCCCUCCUGUCUUCCACUGCCUCCCGGAGUUCGGUCAAAUUCAUGUUGGUCGCUUCGAUAACACUGUCCAACCAUCUCAUCCUCUGUCGUCCCCUUCUCCUCUUGCCUUCACACUUUUCCAACAUCAGGGUCUUUUCCAGGGAGUCUUCUCAUGAGAUGGCCAAAGUAUUGGCGCCUCAGCUUCAGGAUCUGUCCUUCCAGUGAGCACUCAGGGUUGAGAAAAUCUGAAGUCCUAAAACCCAUAAAUAUAAAAUUAAAGGGGAGUGGACACCUUACAAUGGAACUCAGGUGGAACAUCUGCUUUCAAGCCUGGAGUAGAAGCGUGUGUGAGAAAGACUUUCUCUGAGUAGAAGUCUAUUUUCUUUCUUUCUUUCAGCAGUUGAUGUCCUUUGAUAAGGUGGCUGUAUAUUUCACCAAGGGAGAGUGGGAUCUCCUGGAUCCAGCCCAAAGAGCUCUCUACAAGGAAGUCAUGUUAGAAAAUUACGCUGUUGUAACAUCUCUGGGUAAGGAUUUGUUUUCCUUGAUGGUUACCUGCUGGAGAGUUUGGUUUGUUUUCUAGGACAUUUCCAUCGAUGAGCCUAAGAGGCCACAGAUAUAGAUCCAUGUCACAGGCUAAAGGCUUCAAAGAGUAAAACCGGUUGCAUCUCCUGUGAGGCCAAUGUUAGGGGUGUAAUCUUUCUUUUUUGUUUUUUUUUAAGGGGGGACUCCAGCUCUGAAUAUUCUCCAACAUUAUCCCAGGCACAAUUCCGAAAGCUCCGUGUUGGUUGGUUGGUUGGUUUACCAAAUAUUUAUAUACCACCAAACAUAGUGACAAGCACUAUUCUGGGCAGUUGAGAAUAAAAAGGAACACACAUACCGAAUAAACCCA
Molecule: long non-coding RNA, 1865 nt
Filed under: Pogona vitticeps (central bearded dragon)
Lineage: Eukaryota; Metazoa; Chordata; Lepidosauria; Squamata; Agamidae
Description: lncRNA (ENSPVIG00000011163.1)
Source: RNAcentral